The sequence is a ribosomal RNA, 485 nucleotides long. It matches the Rfam family "Bacterial large subunit ribosomal RNA", at positions 1796 to 2573 of the family's 2925-position model.
UCGCCUGUUUAGCAAAAACAUCACUGGGAGAAUUUUUGACUCUCAGCAAUGCCUGCCCAGUGCGGUUAGUAGCCGUAAACGGCCGCCCUAGCGUGAGGGUGCUAAGGUAGCGAAAUUCCUUGCCUUUUAAUUGUAGGCCUGCAUGAAUGGCUUGACGAGGGCUUAACUGUCUCUAGUUUAAAAAUCUAAAUUGGACUAAAGGUGAAGAUACCUUUAUAAAAAAGUCAGACAAGAAGACCCCGUGCAACUUUUAAAGUCAGUUUGUUAAGAAACUUAAGAUUUUUAGGUGGGGCGCCUACCGAGUAAUAUUAACCUCUGUGUAUAAUAAAAACUUUCAAGUAUAGACCCGGCAAUGCCGAUCAUAGGAGAAGUUACGCCGGGGAUAACAGGCUAAUCCAUUAGUAGAGAACGUAUUGGCUAAUGGGAUUGGCACCUCGAUGUUGAAUCAGGGAUGAUACCUUUAAGGCGUAGAAGCUUUAAAAGUG